This is a non-coding RNA of Microcebus murinus (gray mouse lemur), 2179 nucleotides long. The record is from RefSeq and is a predicted model, not a curated record. Lineage: Eukaryota; Metazoa; Chordata; Mammalia; Primates; Cheirogaleidae.
UCGGUCUGUCAGGAGUCUGUAUGUGAACACCCCGAGUAAAGUCACAGAGGGGAGGCGAAGGGACUGGUGCGUGUUGGCAGCCUGCUGAGUGUCACGGUUUGGCGGGUGGUUCGGUGGCCGCAGCGCCCCGCGAGAAAACAGCUCCUCGCCGCGCCCUCCCUGCCGAGUUCCUUGCGACAGAAACACUGUGUGGAUGCUGGGGCGCGGCGGCAAAACGCCUCAUUUAGGAUGUUGCCAGUGCCAGGGACACUCGGAGAGAGGAGCUUUUCCAGCACUUUUAUCGAGUGGUUCAGAAAGAGCCGGAUUGAGUGAGGCCUUCAGAUUGCAUUAUUAUUUCUAUCGACAAAGAGCAGAGAGGGAAAACAUCUGGACAGGGACGAGCUGAGCCUGCUCAUUGACUACCUGAACACCAGGAAGGGACAGCUGGAAGGCUUGGAUGCUGGACCCUUUAGCCAGCAGUGAGCAUUCCUCACUUCAAGGCAGGAUCAACCCUGUCGUGCGCAAGCUGCCUCCUCUGCUUCCACCCACUGGCAAGAGGCUCUUCUUAGGUGCUUCUGUCCCUGUUCCUGGCAAGUCCCCUCUGGCAACAGGCCAGGAGGAGGUCUCCUUCCGCUGCCAGCAGACCCCUCCAAGAGGCUGACUUCUUUGGAAUGGCCCCUCCCAUACCUGCCAAGCAUCUACUUCUGGGAGAGAAGCCAGGCCUUUUAGCACCACCAUCAGUCAGACGUGCUUCUGAGAGAUGUGCGUUGCUGUGGCUGUGGAUAAAGAAGGACAUUUGCAAAGGGCAGCACGACGCGGAGCAAAGGCCAGCGACUCUCGGCCCCGGGACCCAGAUAGUCUGUUUCUGAAGAGGCUCAUCUGACAGACGGGAGUGAAAUAACCACCUUUGGGGAAAUUCGAAGAACUUUCCUUACCCGUAAGAUGGGCCUCCCUGGUUUCUGAAGACCCUCUUAGCCCCCAAAUUCUAGGACUAAUACUUGGAAGAAACUUUUUUAAAAAAAUUAAAGAGGAAACAAGAAGCAUUCCUGUGCAAGGUGCACCAAUAACAGCAUGUGUUAAGUUCUCAUUAUGGGCCAGGCAUUGAGACUGUUUCAGUUAGUCCUUGUAACAGCCCUGCGAGCUAGGUACUGCCAGGACCUCCACGGUCCCGGUGAAUCACUAAGGCAUGGAGAGUAUGAACCUGCCCAAGGUCACACAGUAGUGCCUAGUGGAGCCGAGACUGGACACUGGCCGUGUGACCCCACAGCCUGUGCUCUUAACCGCCACACAGUCUCAGUGGCACAUAAAUGUUACCAAGUUGAUGUUGCUUUCAAAAAACACUUAGAUUUUUGCUUGGAUUUCAACCAUGUCCUCUCAUCCACAGCUUGCCUUUGACCAAAGGUCAAAAACAUUUUCACAUCACUCAGCUGUUCUGAUUUGUUGCAGUGUUAAGGGCUGUGGAAGUCCAGCAGGAAGGAGGGAGUGCAGUUAGUGCGGGUCUGGGCGAAGUUGCAGAAGCCUAAUGGAAGAGCCUUGGAGGAAGCCAAGUAUUUGGGUACCUGGAGGGAAGAGGCACCGUGAUUUCCUGCUUUUAUAGAAGAACUAUCUCAAGUAACAAGUGUUUAAGACUCAUUGAAGUGUGGGUGAGGUAGAUGUCCCAUGUUCCUCCUCUGUAAAAUAAGGGCUGCCACCAGGAUUAAAUGAGAUAAUACAAAUGAAAAUCUUUUACACUCCCCAAGAAUUGCGGAGAAAUCUGUCUGCUGGUGCAGCAACGCGGCUAACCCAACCCUGCAUGCCAGGGCUGGUUGGUGUGGCCAGGGGACGUAGGUCAAGCCCGGCGCUUGGAUAUGAAUUAACACUGCCAUGUUCCUCCUCUCAGCAGUUCUUUUGUGGUCGGUGCCACAUAAGUGGGCAGCUCAACCCGAGUCUCUGCUGAACUAAACUCUGCUGAGCCUAGAGAACAAGGUGCCUGCUGCUCAGAUGGUGACUUCCCCUCCUCCAAGGACCAUGGCUCCUCCCUGGCCUGCAGCACUGAUGUCCAGGCCAUGGGUACAGAUGUGGCUCCCUUCUGUCUGAUACACAAUCCCAUGGAAACCUUUACACCUUUGGAGUCUGUGCCAAACCAGACAUUUGUGGAAAGUCAUUAUUGUGGACAUUGGACCUUGAAGUUGUUCAGUUAUAGGCAUAUUUUUUUUUUUUU